Molecule: ribosomal RNA, 244 nt
Filed under: uncultured Actinomycetales bacterium
Lineage: Bacteria; Bacillati; Actinomycetota; Actinomycetes; Actinomycetales
Description: partial 16S ribosomal RNA
Rfam family: Bacterial small subunit ribosomal RNA
Source: RNAcentral
GCUCGAGUGGCGAACGGGUGAGUAACACGUGAGUAACCUGCCCUUGACUUUGGGAUAACUUCAGGAAACUGGGGCUAAUACCGGAUAGGAGCUCCUGCUGCAUGGUGGGGGUUGGAAAGUUUCGGCGGUUGGGGAUGGACUCGCGGCUUAUCAGCUUGUUGGUGGGGUAGUGGCUUACCAAGGCUUUGACGGGUAGCCGGCCUGAGAGGGUGACCGGCCACAUUGGGACUGAGAUACGGCCCAG